UACGAAGGGGGCGAGCGUUGUUCGGAAUCACUGGGCGUAAAGGGCGUGUAGGCGGGUAGGCAAGUCGGGCGUGAAAUCCCUGAGCUCAACUCAGGAACUGCACUCGAAACUGCUUAUCUUGAGUGCCGGAGAGGAAAGCGGGAAUACCUGGUGUAGAGGUGAAAAUUCGUAGAUAUCAGGUGGAACACCAGUGGCGAAGGCGGCUUUCUGGACGGUAACUGACGCUGAGACGCGAAAGCGUGGGGGAUCAAACAGG
This 256-nucleotide ribosomal RNA is filed under the name uncultured bacterium. Its description in RNAcentral is "partial 16S ribosomal RNA". It matches the Rfam family "Bacterial small subunit ribosomal RNA", at positions 524 to 776 of the family's 1533-position model. The record is from RNAcentral.